UACGAGAGGCCCAAACGUUAUUCGGAAUUACUGGGCUUAAAGAGUUCGUAGGCGGCAUGAAAAGUAGGGUGUGAAAGCCCUCGGCUCAACCGAGGAAUCGCGCUCUAAACUGUCAUGCUCGAGGAAUCUAGAGGUGAGCGGAACUGAUGGUGGAGCGGUGAAAUGCGUUGAUAUCAUCAGGAACACCGGAGGCGAAGGCGGCUCACUGGGGAUUUUCUGACGCUGAGGAACGAAAGCCAGGGGAGCGAACGGG
RNAcentral lists this ribosomal RNA (253 nucleotides) under uncultured bacterium. RNAcentral describes it as "partial 16S ribosomal RNA". It matches the Rfam family "Bacterial small subunit ribosomal RNA", at positions 524 to 776 of the family's 1533-position model. The record is from RNAcentral.